AACGGGAACCGGCGCCCGGAAUGUCAGCGUGUGAAGUAGGCGCUGGCAACGCGGGGUUACCCGCUGUUAUUGAGGAGUAACGGCCCAGCGGACCACCCAGGCUUGAGGCAGCGGCGGGAACCACUCGGUUUGCUGCGAUACCAUGGAAGGAGGCGGGGGAAGCGGCGACAAAACCACAGGGGUAUUGGCCGGCUUUUUCGGAGCCGGCGAAGCAGGUUACUCGCACGCGGAUUUGGCUGGCGUCCCGCGAUACAGAUGAGUUCAUUUUACCUACCGGAGCUAAUAAAACCUGGGGCAGAUUUGAGCUGGCCUUCUUUACGAUUGGAGGGUGUUGCAUGACAGGGGCUGCGUUUGGGGCAAUGAAUGGUCUUCGGCUAGGAUUGAAGGAAACCCAGAACAUGGCCUGGUCCAAACCAGGAAAUGUACAGAUUUUGAAUAUGGUGACUAGGCAAGGGGCACUUUGGGCUAAUACUCUAGGUUCUCUGGCGUUGCUCUAUAGUGCAUUUGGUGUCAUCAUUGAGAAAACACGAGGUGCAGAAGAUGACCUUAACACAGUAGCAGCUGGAACCAUGACAGGCAUGUUGUAUAAAUGUACAGUGUCAGAGAUGGCUUUGGAUUCCCCGUUCUGUGUGCUGCUGUCUGGCUCCUGAACCCAGCUGUAGAGGUGUGUGUCAAUCCCAACUGGUGAAGUACUGAGAAGAAGCUACACAAAAGGCAGCAAAGUAUUAUUGCUCCUUCACAUGUUCCCACUCUCUGUGCGGCCACCAUGUAAGUCGGACCUGCCCUUCUGCCAUGAUUCGUCAGCCUCGAGUUUGACCAGCAGCAGGGGUCGGUGUGUCCCUCUGAAUCUGAGACCUAUGAGGCAGGAGCUAGGGACAGGAUGGCAGGAGCGCCCAUGGCUGCUGCUGUACAGCCUGCUGAGGUGACUGUUGAAGUUGGUGAGGACCUCCACAUGCACCACGUUCGUGACCGGGAGAUGCCUGAAGCUUUGGAGUUUAACCUUUCUGCCAAUCCAGAGUCAAGCACAAUAUUCCAGAGGAACUCUCAAACAGAAGCUUUGGAGUUUAACCCUUCUGCCAAUCCAGAGGCAAGCACAAUAUUCCAGAGGAACUCUCAAACAGAUGUUGUAGAAAUAAGAAGAAGCAACUGUACAAACCAUGUAUCUGCUGUGCGUUUCAGUCAACAAUACAGCUUGUGUUCGACAAUAUUCCUUGAUGACAGCACAGCCAUCCAGCAUUAUCUUACAAUGACAAUAAUAUCUGUGACCUUGGAGAUACCUCAUCAUAUCACACAAAGAGAUGCAGAUAGAACUUUGAGCAUACCUGAUGAACAGUUACACUCAUUUGCGGUUUCCACCGUGCACAUUAUGAAGAAAAGAAAUGGAGGUGGGAGUUUAAAUAACUAUUCCUCCUCCAUUCCAUCGACUCCCAGCACCAGCCAGGAGGACCCUCAGUUCAGUGUUCCUCCCACUGCCAACACACCCACGCCCGUUUGCAAGCGGUCCAUGCGCUGGUCCAACCUGUUUACAUCUGAGAAAGGGAGUGACCCAGACAAAGAGAGGAAAGCCCCGGAGAAUCAUGCUGACACCAUCGGGAGCGGUAGAGCCAUCCCCAUUAAACAGGGCAUGCUCUUAAAGCGAAGUGGGAAAUGGCUGAAGACAUGGAAAAAGAAAUACGUCACCCUGUGUUCCAAUGGCAUGCUCACCUAUUAUUCAAGCUUAGGUGAUUAUAUGAAGAAUAUUCAUAAAAAAGAGAUUGACCUUCAGACAUCUACCAUCAAAGUCCCAGGAAAGUGGCCAUCCCUAGCCACAUCGGCCUGCACACCCAUCUCCAGCUCUAAAAGCAAUGGCCUAUCCAAGGACAUGGACACCGGGCUGGGUGACUCCAUAUGCUUCAGCCCCAGUAUCUCCAGCACCACCAGCCCCAAGCUCAACCCGCCCCCCUCUCCUCAUGCUAAUAAAAAGAAACACCUAAAGAAGAAAAGCACCAACAACUUUAUGAUUGUGUCUGCCACUGGCCAAACGUGGCACUUUGAAGCCACGACGUAUGAGGAGCGGGAUGCCUGGGUCCAAGCCAUCCAGAGCCAGAUCCUGGCCAGCCUGCAGUCAUGCGAGAGCAGUAAAAGCAAGUCCCAGCUGACCAGCCAGAGCGAGGCCAUGGCCCUGCAGUCGAUCCAAAACAUGCGUGGGAACGCCCACUGUGUGGACUGUGAGACCCAGAAUCCUAAGUGGGCCAGUUUGAACUUGGGAGUCCUCAUGUGUAUUGAAUGCUCAGGUAUCCACCGCAGUCUUGGCCCCCACCUUUCCCGUGUGCGAUCUCUGGAGCUGGAUGACUGGCCAGUUGAGCUCAGGAAGGUUAUGUCAUCUAUUGUCAAUGACCUAGCCAACAGCAUCUGGGAAGGGAGCAGCCAGGGGCAGACAAAACCCUCAGAAAAGUCCACGAGGGAAGAGAAGGAACGGUGGAUCCGUUCCAAAUAUGAGGAGAAGCUCUUUCUGGCCCCACUACCCUGCACUGAGCUGUCCCUGGGCCAGCAGCUGCUGCGGGCCACCGCUGAUGAGGACCUGCAGACAGCCAUCCUGCUGCUGGCACAUGGCUCCUGUGAGGAGGUGAACGAGACCUGUGGGGAGGGAGACGGCUGCACGGCGCUCCAUCUGGCCUGCCGCAAGGGGAAUGUGGUCCUGGCGCAGCUCCUGAUCUGGUACGGGGUGGACGUCAUGGCCCGAGAUGCCCACGGGAACACAGCGCUGACCUACGCCCGGCAGGCCUCCAGCCAGGAGUGCAUCAACGUGCUUCUGCAGUACGGCUGCCCCGACGAGUGUGUGUAGUAUCUGUUUUAUUUGACUGCAGUCUCCUUGGUGCAAAAACAAAAUGGGAAAAAUAAGGAUAACUCAGAAUUUCAAAAGGAAAUCACAAAUUCAGCUAAUAUUAGCAUUUUCAGUACUUUUCGUAAACUAAGUAAAUACACAAAAUGUUGAUUUUUCUGACCAUAAGACGUAUUUUAUGUCCUUCUGCCAAGGUGGAUUUGUUAGUCUCAGGCCCUCCUGGCCACAUUGCCCAAGUCACACAGGCUUCUGUAUUAUGUAUUUAGAUAAAAUGUGUGAAAACAUAUUUGAAAUAAAGUUCAUAAAUAUGCAUUGAUUUUUGUACACAUGGCA
This 3154-nucleotide long non-coding RNA is filed under the name Homo sapiens (human). RNAcentral describes it as "TIMM23B-AGAP6 readthrough (NMD candidate), transcript variant 4 (TIMM23B-AGAP6)". The record is from RNAcentral. Lineage: Eukaryota; Metazoa; Chordata; Mammalia; Primates; Hominidae.